UACGUAGGGGGCAAGCGUUGUCCGGAAUUAUUGGGCGUAAAGAGCGUGUAGGCGGUCCGGUAAGUCCGCUGUGAAAGUCGAGGGCUCAACCCUCGAAUGCCGGUGGAUACUGUCGGGCUAGAGUACGGAAGAGGCGAGUGGAAUUCCUGGUGUAGCGGUGAAAUGCGCAGAUAUCAGGAGGAACACCAAUUGCGAAGGCAGCUCGCUGGGACGUUACUGACGCUGAGACGCGAAAGCGUGGGGAGCAAACAGG
RNAcentral lists this ribosomal RNA (253 nucleotides) under uncultured bacterium. RNAcentral's name for it is "partial 16S ribosomal RNA". It matches the Rfam family "Bacterial small subunit ribosomal RNA", at positions 524 to 776 of the family's 1533-position model. The record is from RNAcentral.